UAUGUGAUCGUCUCUCGCAUAUCAAUAAGCGGAGGAAAAGAAACUAACAAGGAUUCCCCUAGUAACGGCGAGUGAAGCGGGAAGAGCUCAAAUUUGAAAUCUUAAAGGGUUUCCCUUUACGAAUUGUAGUUUAAAGAAGUGUUUUCUGUUGAGGUUUUGGUAAAAGUUCUUUGGAAUAGGACAUCAUAGAGGGUGAGAAUCCCGUAUUUGACCUUUACUUUCAACUUUGUGAUACACUUUCAAAGAGUCGGAUUGUUUGGGAAUGCAGUCCAAAAUGGGUGGUAAAUUUCAUCUAAAGCUAAAUAUUGGCGAGAGACCGAUAGCGAACAAGUACCGUGAGGGAAAGAUGAAAAGAACUUUGAAAAGAGAGUUAAACAGUACGUGAAAUUGUCAAAAGGGAAGCGUUUGACACCAGUGUUGUUUUUCUGAAAAUCAAUUAAAGAACUGUUUAUGCUAAGCUGUUUAGACUUUAUCAGCUAUCUGUUUAGUUUUGAGCUUUUCUUUAAUGCACUUUUCAGUUAACAAGUCAACAUCAAUUUCUUUUGCUGUAAAAAAGCUUGAGGAAGGUGGCUUGAGAUUCGUCUUAAGUGUUUAUAGCCUCUUGCCUAUGCAGUCGGAGAGAUUGAGGUCUGCAGCGUAGAUCCUUCGGGGCUAAAUGCAUUUGUGCUAAGUUAUAGCAUUUUAUAGACAACUUGUUGACUAUGAUUUGUCUUGUAGCUUACUCGCUUAUGUUAUUUUACCUACGCUUAGGAUGUUGAACGCGCACAGAGUCUC
Molecule: ribosomal RNA, 774 nt
Filed under: uncultured Neocallimastigales
Lineage: Eukaryota; Fungi; Neocallimastigomycota; Neocallimastigomycetes; Neocallimastigales
Description: partial large subunit ribosomal RNA
Rfam family: Eukaryotic large subunit ribosomal RNA
Source: RNAcentral